Molecule: ribosomal RNA, 254 nt
Filed under: uncultured bacterium
Lineage: Bacteria
Description: partial 16S ribosomal RNA
Rfam family: Bacterial small subunit ribosomal RNA
Source: RNAcentral
UACGAAGGGGGCUAGCGUUGCUCGGAAUCACUGGGCGUAAAGGGUGCGUAGGCGGGUCUUUUAAGUCAGGGGUGAAAUCCUGGAGCUCAACUCCAGAACUGCCUUUGAUACUGAAGAUCUUGAGUUCGGGAGAGGUGAGUGGAACUGCGAGUGUAGAGGUGAAAUUCGUAGAUAUUCGCAAGAACACCAGUGGCGAAGGCGAGUCCCUGGACAACUCCUGACACUGAGGCACGAAAGCUAGGGGAGCAAACAGG